Molecule: ribosomal RNA, 329 nt
Filed under: uncultured eukaryote
Lineage: Eukaryota
Description: partial 18S ribosomal RNA
Rfam family: Eukaryotic small subunit ribosomal RNA
Source: RNAcentral
CCCUUAGAUGUCCUGGGCCGCACGCGCGCUACACUGACAUGUUCAACAAGCCUCCUAGUUCGACAGGAUUUGGGAAAUCUUUGAACGCAUGUCGUGAUAGGGAUAGAUCAUUGCAAUUAUUGAUCUUGAACGAGGAAUUCCUAGUAAACGCGAGUCAUCAGCUCGCAUUGAUUACGUCCCUGCCCUUUGUACACACCGCCCGUCGCUACUGCCAACUGAGAUGGGUCCUGAAUUGUUAGGAACGCCCGUCAAGGGGCCUACCCGGUCCCUAGUGCGGUGACGAGAAUAACUGUAAAUGGCAUAUCUUGUAGGGAGUAAAAGUCGUAACA